Molecule: ribosomal RNA, 300 nt
Filed under: uncultured Nocardioidaceae bacterium
Lineage: Bacteria; Bacillati; Actinomycetota; Actinomycetes; Propionibacteriales; Nocardioidaceae
Description: bacterial SSU rRNA
Rfam family: Bacterial small subunit ribosomal RNA
Source: RNAcentral
ACGUGAGUAAGUCUGCCCUUCACUUCGGGAUAACCGCCGGAAACGGCGGCUAAUACCGGAUACGACGCACCUUCGCAUGAAGUGUGCGUGGAAAGUCUUGUCGGUGGAGGAUGUGCUCGCGGCCUAUCAGCUAGUUGGUGAGGUAACGGCCCACCAAGGCUUCGACGGGUAGCCGGCCUGAGAGGGUGACCGGCCACACUGGGACUGAGACACGGCCCAGACUCCUACGGGAGGCAGCAGUGGGGAAUAUUGGACAAUGGGCGAAAGCCUGAUCCAGCAACGCCGCGUGAGGGAUGACGG